This 69-nucleotide transfer RNA is filed under the name Euryarchaeota archaeon CG01_land_8_20_14_3_00_38_12. RNAcentral describes it as "tRNA-Pro". Lineage: Archaea; Methanobacteriati; Methanobacteriota. The record is from RNAcentral.
GUGGGGUAGUUUGGCCUAUCCUUCGGCGUUCGGGACGCCGUGACCUGAGUUCAAAUCUCAGCAGGCCCA